RNAcentral lists this long non-coding RNA (6261 nucleotides) under Capsicum annuum. RNAcentral describes it as "long non-coding RNA (CANN_LNC010279)". The record is from RNAcentral. Lineage: Eukaryota; Viridiplantae; Streptophyta; Magnoliopsida; Solanales; Solanaceae.
CAACCACACUUUAAAUUCCCAUGAAUCUUCAAUGGGAUUUCCUAAUCCUUCACUUAGGAUUCACUCUAAUGUCUUCUUAUAUCAAGAUUAGUACAAGUUUAAGCUCCGACCAAAAUGAGCUAAAAACUCUUAUUUUAGCCCCAAUUCCACAAUUGCCAAAUAUUACAAAAAUGCCCUUAAAAAUUUUCCACUCUACUUCGAUCGCCACCUCUUUACCACAUUCACAAAUCACGUAAUCAUGGUAGUCAAACCGCAAUCGCUCUCCCAUUGAAUUAUUGACUGGUCGUGAUCGUGACCCUCAAGCCGCGAUCGUGGUAAUUAAGGGUCGAUUCUUAGGCUUGAUUUCUACAAUUUGGCUCUUUUCUUUCACAUUUAACCUCUUUUUGACUUGAAUGACUUGAUAAUCUUUGUUUUUCACCUUUUCCUAUACAAAUGUUCAUUACGUAAGAUAUUAACAUAAAAUCAAUGGAAAACCAUGAUAUUUUAGGCUUAAAAGGUGUUAGAAAAUCCCCAAAUUGACGACUUAUCACUGGUCAAGUAGAUUGAGACAUGAGAUUGAGAUUUAGGGAAAUUGGAGAUAGUAUACGAGUUUGUAACCACCCAUGGAUCGUAUUUUGGGAGCAUUGACGUUCGAUAGGUGUAUAUAGAAAGUCAUGCGAUAACUUUUCAUUAUUUACCUCAUCAUCCAUAGUACUGCAUUGUAUUUGGACAUCAUGUAUUGUUUUAAUAUAUUACUUGUCAUGUACUUAACUUCUAUAAUUGUAAGUGGAAAUGGUGUGAUCUACUAUUUAGGAACUUUUCUUUUGCAUGUUAUUUUCUCAUAGUAUAUUUUUUACAUGUUUUAUUUUCUACUGUGCUUAGUCUGCCCAUAAUACCUACUGAGUAUAAAUAGACUGUACUCACUCCUACAAUACCCUUUUGGUGCAGAUCCUAGUUUAAGUACCACAUGUGGUGGUUGAUCUUAUUGUAAAAAUUUUGGGUUUUCAAGGUACUAUUUUCUCCAGAUUUCGGUGUUUAUUUGGACCUCAUCUAUAUUUAUUUUUCUUCACGUAUGACUCAGAGACAGAUCGUGUAUUAUUAAAUAUUUAGAUGGUUGUUUAGAUGCUCUACAUUUAUGUCAUCAAAUUUUGGGAUUUAUGAUAUUUCUUUUGGAGUUUCUCUAUAAUUGUACUUGUAUUGGCCUGACUUAGCUUUAGAAGUCUCACUUAACAUGUUUUCACUUAAUGAUUUUGUUUAUUUUUUCCAUUUCGAGAUUACGGCUUACUUAUCAAGGCUGGGCCACAUUGAGUUCCAUCAUCAUCUAGGUUUUUGGGUCAUGAUACAACCCAACUAAUCGGACCAUGCAGGCACCUAGAUAAAAUUAGUUCGGAUGAUCUACAAAACAAAUAUUCGAAAAGUAUCCAUUGAAGAAAAUCUAUCUCCAAGAAAAUAGAUAUAAUUAAAGCAGAUGAAGAAAUAAAAGGUGCUAUUACAACUACAAUAUAAACAAGAGGUUAUUCCAAAAUUAAAUCAAGAUGAAUGCUUUGGUAUGGAAUAUAUGAUUGGUGGAAACACAGAAAGUAUUCACCAGAUUGAUAACUUUACAAAAAAGACAUCACUUUUAUUUUCCAGAACUGAUGGAUCCAUUUCAAGAAAAUCACAAUUACAGGAAUAUAAAAGAAGACUAGGGAUGCAGAAUGUAGUGUCUAAUACAUCAGUAAAAAUUUGGGCAUUUAUGGUUUCAAUUGUAAAUUUCAUGGUUCUCAUGAAUGAAGAGUAGUAGAUCAUCUUGAAGUUAGAAAAUUAAGAUGCAGGAGUGAUAGUAAUUGUCAUUUAAGUAUAUGCAAAAUGUAAACAAGCUAAAUGACUAUCACUAUGGGAAUCUUUAGGAGAGAUUUCACAAUCCAUUCAGGAACCUUGGUUAGUGGUAGGGGAUUUUAAUGUCAUCAUCAAUGAAAAAGAGAAUCUGGGGAGUUUGCCAAUUACUAUAUAUUAAAUAGUGGCUUUAGACACUGCAUAAAUCCAUGUAAUUUAGUAGAUGAUGCAUUCAAGGAAACUAAGUACACAUGGUAGAAUGGAAGAACAGAUGUUAAUUGUAUAUUCAAGAGAUUAGAUAGGGUUCAAUGCAAGUUUUUUUCCAAUAUUAAAGGUUGAGAAUUUGAUCAAAAAUGGUUAAGAUCAUACACCUCCAUUGCUUAACUUUAGUACUAUUAAUGAACAAAUUAUAAAAUCCUUCAAGUUUCUAAAUUUCAAGAUUAAGGAAGAAUCAUGUUUGGAAAUUAUAAGAUAGAACUAGAAAACUGAAGUGUAAACCAAACUUUAUUAUGUUCCAUCACAAGCUGAAAAGGACCAAAAUUGCUUUAAGUCAAUUGCUUAAAGAAAAUUUGGUAAUAUUUUUCAAGAAAUUACAACUUUGAAAGAGGUUAUUAAAGUUAUGGAGAAGCAGUUUGAGGAAGAUCCAUAAGGUGCAAAUAGAGAGAAAAUAUUUAAAGCUCAGAUUAAUAUAAAUUUAUUGAUCAGAAGGGAAGAAGUGUUUUAAAAGCAUAAAGCAUGUUUAGAGUAGUUUAAAUAUGGGGAAAUAAAUAAUAAAAGUUUUUCAUUCAAUUAUUAAAGGGAGAAGAAGAAGGUUGAAGGUGAAGAGAAUCCAAAAUGAAAAGGGUAUUUGGGUAGAAUAUAAAGUUGAGAUUUUUACAAAUGCUAUACAAUUCAUUCAAAAAUAGUUCUGUAAGGAAUAGGAGGGUGAAUAUUUCUUAAUGCUAGAGUAUUUGCAAAGAAUAGUAACUUUAGAGCAUAAUAAGAAGUUGAGUAAAAUCCCUGGCAUUUAGAAGAUUAAAAAAAUAGUUAUGGGGCUAUAUAAACACAGUAUUAGAGGGCCAUAUGGAAUGACAAGGGCUUUCUAGCAGGAGGCAUGAGAUACUAUAGGAGAUGAUGUGUACCAAAUAGUAGUAGCUUUCUUUUAUGGGUUUCACCUUAAAGAUUCAUCAUACAUACUAAUUUGGUUCUACUACAUAAAAUCUUAGUUGUGAACACUUUCUCUGACAUGAGAAAAAAUUUUGUAAGUAAUUUUGUCAAUAAGAUUUUCUCAAGACACGUUCAUGAUAGACUCAAGAAAUUGUUACAUGAGAUUAUUUUAGAAAAACAAAUUGGUUUUGUUUAAAGAACAAACAGUGCAGAGAACAUUCUUGUAGUCCAAGAAAUCGUCUCAUAGAUAAGAAAGAGAGGCAAACUCCCUAAUAUGGCCAUUAAUUUGGAUAUGAUGGAAACUUAUGACAAGGUGUAGUGGUUGUAUCUACCGAAGGUAUUGAGAAAAUUGGGUUUUAAUGAAACAAUCAAUAAUAUGGUGUACAGAUUAGUGGGAAACAAUUGUUAUUCAAUCCUACUGAAUAGGCAACCAGAAGGGUUUUUUAGAUCCUAUAGAGGAUUGAAACAUGUAGAUCCCUUAUCUUCUACCCUCUUUAUACUCACUGCAGAGGUAAUGUCUAGAAAAAGAGUUUAAGAUGUUUAGUAUGCCUAGGGGAAGCCCAAAAAUUAAACAUCUUGCAUUUGCAGAUGAGAAGAUCAUACUAUACAAGGAUAAACUAGGCACAGUAUAAAGAAUCAUAGCAACUUUAUAGAGAUAUGAACUUGUGUUAAGGCAUAAGAUCAAUAAGAAGAAGAAUGAGACAUACUUGCAUAAAUGUGUUUCCCUGGGGUAGUAGUGAUCAUUGAGGUUGCUACAUAUAUUUUAAGAUUUUCCUUUCACUUACUUAGGAUAUUCCACUUUUCACAUAGGGAAGAAGAAAAAUUAUUAUCAAAAUAUUAUGAAUAAAAUAAGCAGUAUACUUCAAGGAUGAAAAGAAAAGAUAUCAUAUAUAGAGAGAUAUACUUAUCAAACAUGUACUGUAAAGUAUACCCAAUCAUUGUCUAUCAGUGAUAAAUCCACCUGUUAAUGUGUUGACUACUAUUUAGCUAAUACUAGCUCAAGUUUUCUAGAACAGUCAUAUAGGAGCAAUAGGUAGAAAUGGUCAAGCUAGAAAAGCUUAUGUUUUCCAGAGAACGAAGGUGGGCCAUUGAUUUAUUUUGCAAACUGUAAUGGAAAUUUAUAACUAAGAAGUUGAUUUGGAGCACUUAUAUGCAUAGUAAGUACUGCAAAAAAGAGAAUCCUAAUAUAGUAAUAUGGAAAACUGGUUCAGGAUCAUAGGAGUGGAAGACGAUGUUAUUGUCCAGGGACCUAGUAGAACAACAAAUCUUAUGGCAAACAAGGAAAGGAAAUUCUAGUCUAUGGUUUGAUAAUUUGAUAGUUAUACGUGAUUUAUACAACAAUAUUUAGGUUAGCAAAGAUUGGGAUGACCAAUAUGAAUAUGUGAGAAAUUGGUUAUUAAAUAGGACUUGGAAUGAGCACCUGAUUAACGAAAUAUUUCCAGAAGAAGUUGUUAAACAUAUCCUGGGCAAAAUUAGAUCUCUAGUCUUAAUAGGACAGAGUGAUAGACUAGAUGGAUACUUGAGGCUAAUGGAAAUUUCACUGUGAGAUCAGUAUAGUAAUACAUUAGACAAAAGGGGCAAAGUAGUAGAACAUUUAAGGAGACUUGGAUAGAAAGGUUACCCUUUAAAAUGGCCUUAUUCAUGUGGAGGAUAUGGAAAAGAAAAGUACCUAUGGAUGAUAAUAUAAGAAAAUGGAGAUAUGAGGGGCCAUCCAGAUGCUGAUGUUGUGUGAAUAUAGCAUAAGAAACCAUACCAGAUGUGUUUCUAUGAUCAGACAUUGCUAUCAGGACAUAGACCUAUUUUUCUUCUUUUGCAAGUAUAAAUAUAAACAGUCUGAGCUUGAGGUAAACCAUUAUGGAAUAGUGGAAUGCAGAUGUUAGGCAGAGGCAAAAAGCUUAUUUUCAAGCUAUCCCUAGUAUGAUCUUUGUGGAACUAUAAAAGAGGAACAACCACAAAACAUAAAGGAAAGAGUAUCUUAUCACAGAGGGUUAUAUACAAUAUAACCAGGAAUCUUGGUAUUCUAUUGAAAGUUGGAAAACUAGCACAAGAAUUUCUAUAUGCAUGGCCAUAUAUUCUUAAGGAAUUUAAUAAAAAUAGGUCAAGAGUGAAGGUUAACUAAGUUACUUGGGAAUUCCCAUGAGAAGAUUGGAUAAAAUAUAACUUUGAUGAAGCUUCUAGGGGAAAUUCGGGAGUUAGCUUAUAUGUAUUUUGCCUAAGGAAUGAGAAAGGAGUCUAAUAUAUGCAGGAGGGGAUAGCAUAGAGAAUACAACAAAUGUAGAAGAAAAGGCAAUAGCUAUCUUUUUGGAAAACACACAUUGCAGUCACUCAUAGCAUAACAAAGUCAUCAUUCAGAUAUACUCUAUAACUUUGCAGAAAAAUUUAAUUAGAGAAUGGGCCUAUCCAUGGAUUAUAUAUGAUAUAGUAUAGUAGAUAUGGAAUUUAAUGGGAAAUAAACAAGUACAGUAACAAAACAGUCUCAGAGAAGGGAACCAAUUAGUUAAUCAUCUGGCUAAUUUUUUAAUUAAUAAGGGGAAUUUGGCAUUCACAGGCUUUCAGUGGCUAGAAUUUAGAUGUAGGAGGAUAAUUAAUAGUGACUAAUAACAAUGCCCAUACUUAAGUUUUUUACUAGAAAAAGGGUGAGGGGGAUAGAUAGGCUAAAGCUUAAUUUGUUCACAUGCAAAUAUAUACAAGCCAUGUAGGCAACAAAAAGAGUGAAACAACUAAUUAGCAUAUAGUACAAUAGCUAACAAAAAGGACUCCCAACAAAAAAGGAGGGUAACUUGUCAUAUUGAAAUUGAUAAACCUGAAGGUCAUAUUACUCUAAAUAUUUGUGGUUUCAAGCAUCUCAUUAUCUCUAUAACAGCCAUAUCUGAAAGAUGGGAAAGAUUAGAAAGACAAAUGGGUUCUUACUAAACAUCGACAGAGGGGAAAUUUCAUUCUGACUCUGAAGAAGUGAUAGUAUUCAGCUGACAGAAACCCUCAACACUGAAAAGAAGGAAGAUAUCGAUCCCAUCCACCGGAUAGCACAACUAAAUCAUAUUGUAAAGUAUGAAAAUAAGCUCAAAAUAAAGAUUUAAUCAAAGCAAAGAGAAAGUGAUCAAUACUUACUUUUGCAAGCAAAGAUAUUCAUGAAGAAGAAACAACUAGAGCACAGUGUUUUUCAUCCAGCACUAGAGCAAGAAGAAGCGUAGUUGAAUAGUGGAAACAUAGAUCAGAUGUUGUAGGGCUGAAGAUGAAAGGAAGAGUAGAUACUGAUUUUGGAAACCCUACUUUUACUCUUAUAUGUAAUAGAAUAGUGGGUUGGGUCUGGUCGAAUGUUAG